This 492-nucleotide ribosomal RNA is filed under the name uncultured bacterium. RNAcentral's name for it is "partial 16S ribosomal RNA". It matches the Rfam family "Bacterial small subunit ribosomal RNA", at positions 29 to 507 of the family's 1533-position model. The record is from RNAcentral.
AGUGAACGCUGGCGGUAGGCCUAACACAUGCAAGUCGAACGGCAGCACAGUAAGAGCUUGCUCUUACGGGUGGCGAGUGGCGGACGGGUGAGGAAUACAUCGGAAUCUCCUUUUUCGUGGGGGAUAACGUAGGGAAACUUACGCUAAUACCGCAUACGACCUACGGGUGAAAGCAGGUGAUCUUCGGACCUUGCGCGAUUGAAUGAGCCGAUGUCGGAUUAGCUAGUUGGCGGGGUACAGGCCCACCAAGGCGACGAUCCGUAGCUGGUCUGAGAGGAUGAUCAGCAACACUGGAACUGAGACACGGUCCAGACUCCUACGGGAGGCAGAAGUGGGGAAUAUUGGAAAAGGGGCGCAAGCGUGAGCCAGCAAUACCGCGUGGGUGAAGAAGGCCUUCGGGUUGUAAAGCCCUUUUGUUGGGAAAGAAAAGCAGAAGGUUAAUACCCCGCUGUUCUGACGGUACCAAAAGAAUAAGCACCGGCUAACUUCGUG